This 87-nucleotide microRNA precursor is filed under the name Helianthus annuus (common sunflower). RNAcentral's name for it is "microRNA MIR1846". The record is from RNAcentral. Lineage: Eukaryota; Viridiplantae; Streptophyta; Magnoliopsida; Asterales; Asteraceae.
CUGGCCCAUUCGGAUGGACCGCUCGAUCGAGUGGGCCGCUCGAUCGAGUGGGCCCGUUCGAUCGAGUGGGCCGUUCGAUCGGCUGGU